Molecule: ribosomal RNA, 459 nt
Filed under: uncultured bacterium
Lineage: Bacteria
Description: partial 16S ribosomal RNA
Rfam family: Bacterial small subunit ribosomal RNA
Source: RNAcentral
CCUACGGGAGGCAGCAGUGAGGAAUAUUGGUCAAUGGUCGGGAGACUGAACCAGCCAAGCCGCGUGAGGGAUGAAGGUACAGAGUAUCGUAAACCUCUUUUGUCAGGGAACAAAGGCGGGGACGUGUCCCCGGAUGAGUGUACCUGAAGAAAAAGCAUCGGCUAACUCCGUGCCAGCAGCCGCGGUAAUCCGGAGGAUGCGAGCGUUCUCCGGAUUUAUUGGGUUUCAAGGGUGCGCAGGCGGUCUGUUAAGUCAGCGGUAAAAGCCCGGGGGUAAACCCCGGCACGCCGUUGAAACUGGCAGUCGCGAGUUGGAUAGAGGUAUGCGGAAUGCGCGGUGUAGCGGUGAAAUGCAUAGAUAUCGCGCAGAACUCCGAUUGCGAAGGCAGCAGGCCGGCUCCACACUGACGCUGAGGCACGAAAGCGUGGGUAUCGAACAGGAUUAGAUACCCGAGUAGUC